AUUGAACGCUGGCGGCAGGCCUAACACAUGCAAGUCGAGCGGAUGAAGGGAGCUUGCUCCUGGAUUCAGCGGCGGACGGGUGAGUAAUGCCUAGGAAUCUGCCUGGUAGUGGGGGAUAACGUCCGGAAACGGGCGCUAAUACCGCAUACGUCCUGAGGGAGAAAGUGGGGGAUCUUCGGACAUCACGCUAUCAGAUGAGCCUAGGUCGGAUUAGCUAGUUGGUGGGGUAAAGGCCUACCAAGGCGACGAUCCGUAACUGGUCUGAGAGGAUGAUCAGUCACACUGGAACUGAGACACGGUCCAGACUCCUACGGGAGGCAGCAGUGGGGAAUAUUGGGCAAUGGGCGAAAGCCUGAUCCAGCCAUGCCGCGUGUGUGAAGAAGGUCUUCGGAUUGUAAAACACUUUUAGUUGGGAGGAAGGACAGUAAGUUAAUCCCUUGCUGUUUUGACGUUACCGAAUGAAUAAGCACCGGCUAACUGCGUG
RNAcentral lists this ribosomal RNA (484 nucleotides) under uncultured bacterium. RNAcentral describes it as "partial 16S ribosomal RNA". It matches the Rfam family "Bacterial small subunit ribosomal RNA", at positions 30 to 507 of the family's 1533-position model. The record is from RNAcentral.